This 497-nucleotide ribosomal RNA is filed under the name uncultured bacterium. Its description in RNAcentral is "partial 16S ribosomal RNA". It matches the Rfam family "Bacterial small subunit ribosomal RNA", at positions 28 to 507 of the family's 1533-position model. The record is from RNAcentral.
GAUGAACGCUGGCGGCGUGCCUAAUACAUGCAAGUCGAGCGAACGGACGAGGAGCUUGCCUCUCUGAUGUUAGCGGCGGACGGGUGAGUAACACGUGGAUAACCUACCUUUAAGACUGGGAUAACUUCGGGGAACCGUAGCUAAUACCGGAUAAUAUUUUGAACCGCAUGGUUCAAAAGUGAAAGACGGUCUUGCUGUCACUUAUAGAUGGAUCCGCGCUGCAUUAGCUAGUUGGUAAGGUAACGGCUUACCAAGGCAACGAUGCAUAGCCGACCGGAGAGGGUGAUCGGCCACACUGGAACUGAGACACGGUCCAGACUCCUACGGGAGGCAGCAGUAGGGAAUCUUGCGCAAUGGGCGAAAGCCUGACGGAGCAACGCCGCGUGAGUGAUGAAGGUCUUCGGAUCGUAAAACUCUGUUAUUAGGGAAGAACAUAUGUGUAAGUAACUGUGCACAUCUUGACGUUACCUAAACAGAAAGCCACGGCUAACUACGUG